This 440-nucleotide ribosomal RNA is filed under the name uncultured bacterium. RNAcentral's name for it is "partial 16S ribosomal RNA". It matches the Rfam family "Bacterial small subunit ribosomal RNA", at positions 338 to 795 of the family's 1533-position model. The record is from RNAcentral.
CCUACGGGGUGCAGCAGUGGGGAAUCUUUCACAAUGGGCGAAAGCCUGAUGGAGCAACGCCGCGUGCAGGAUGAAGGCCUUCGGGUUGUAAACUGCUUUUAUAAGCGAGAAAUAUGAUGGUAACUUAUGAAUAAGGAUCGGCUAACUACGUGCCAGCAGCAGCGGUCAUACGUAGGAUCAGAGCAUUAUCCGGAGUGGCUGGGUGUAAAGAGUUGCGUAGGUGGCAUAGUAAGUAGCUAGUGAAAUCUGGUGGCUCAACCCGGGCCGGCCGUUGAAACUGGGGAUCUUGAGUGGGCGAGAAGUAUGCGGAAUGCGUGGGGUAGCGGUGAAAUGCAUAGAUAUCAUGCAGAACUCCGAUUGCGAAGGCAGCAUACCGGCGCCCGACUGACGCUGAGGCACGAAAGCGUGGGGAGCGAACAGGAUUAGAUACCCUAGUAGUC